AGUGAACGCUGGUGGUAGGCCUAACACAUGCAAGUCGAACGGCAGCACAGUAAGAGCUUGCUCUUACGGGUGGCGAGUGGCGGACGGGUGAGGAAUACAUCGGAAUCUACUUUUUCGUGGGGGAUAACGUAGGGAAACUUACGCUAAUACCGCAUACGACCUACGGGUGAAAGCAGGGGAUCUUCGGACCUUGCGCGAUUGAAUGAGCCGAUGUCGGAUUAGCUAGUUGGCGGGGUAAAGGCCCACCAAGGCGACGAUCCGUAGCUGGUCUGAGAGGAUGAUCAGCCACACUGGAACCGAGACACGGUCCAGACUCCUACGGGAGGCAGCAGUGGGGAAUAUUGGACAAUGGGCGCAAGCCUGAUCCAGCCAUACCGCGUGGGUGAAGAAGGCCUUCGGGUUGUAAAGCCCUUUUGUUGGGAAAGAAAAGCAGCAGGUUAAUACCCCGCUGUUCUGACGGUACCCAAAGAAUAAGCACCGGCUAACUUCGUG
This 492-nucleotide ribosomal RNA is filed under the name uncultured bacterium. RNAcentral's name for it is "partial 16S ribosomal RNA". It matches the Rfam family "Bacterial small subunit ribosomal RNA", at positions 29 to 507 of the family's 1533-position model. The record is from RNAcentral.